CGGAGUGGCGGACGGGUGAGGAAUACAUCGGAAUCUACUCUGUCGUGGGGGAUAACGUAGGGAAACUUACGCUAAUACCGCAUACGACCUACGGGUGAAAGCAGGGGAUCUUCGGACCUUGCGCGAUUGAAUGAGCCGAUGUCGGAUUAGCUAGUUGGCGGGGUAAAGGCCCACCAAGGCGACGAUCCGUAACUGGUCUGAGAGGAUGAUCAGUCACACUGGAACUGAGACACGGUCCAGACUCCUACGGGAGGCAGCAGUG
RNAcentral lists this ribosomal RNA (262 nucleotides) under uncultured Stenotrophomonas sp. Its description in RNAcentral is "partial 16S ribosomal RNA". It matches the Rfam family "Bacterial small subunit ribosomal RNA", at positions 91 to 356 of the family's 1533-position model. The record is from RNAcentral. Lineage: Bacteria; Pseudomonadati; Pseudomonadota; Gammaproteobacteria; Lysobacterales; Lysobacteraceae.